Molecule: non-coding RNA, 119 nt
Organism: Gossypium raimondii (Peruvian cotton)
Lineage: Eukaryota; Viridiplantae; Streptophyta; Magnoliopsida; Malvales; Malvaceae
Source: Rfam
GGGUGUGAUCAUACCAGCACUAAUGCAUUGGAUCCCAUUAGAACUUUGCAGUUAAGCAUGCUUGGGCGAGAGUAGAACUAGGAUGGGUGAUCUCCUGGGAAGUCAUCGUGUUGCAUCCC